UAGGGAAUUUUCGGCAAUGGGCGAAAGCCUGACCGAGCAAUGCCGCGUGAACGAUGAAGGUCUUCGGAUUGUAAAGUUCUUUUAUAAGGGAAGAAAAGGCGCAAUGGACUUGCGCAAUUGACGGUACCUUAAGAAUAAGCCACGGCUAACUACGUGCCAGCAGCCGCGGUAAUACGUAGGUGGCGAGCGUUAUCCGGAAUUAUUGGGCGUAAAGCGUGAGUAGGCGGUUUGUUAAGUUUAAAGUCAAAGGCUGUGGCUCAACCAUAGUUCGCUUUAAAAACUGACAGACUAGAGUGCGAGAGAGGUUGAUGGAAUUCCAUGUGUAGCGGUGAAAUGCGUAGAUAUAUGGAGGAACACCAGUGGCGAAGGCGGUCAACUGGCUCGUAACUGACGCUCAGUCACGAAAGCGUGGGGAGCAAAUAGG
This 424-nucleotide ribosomal RNA is filed under the name uncultured prokaryote. RNAcentral's name for it is "bacterial SSU rRNA". It matches the Rfam family "Bacterial small subunit ribosomal RNA", at positions 355 to 776 of the family's 1533-position model. RNAcentral also lists the same sequence under 1 other name. The record is from RNAcentral.